This 335-nucleotide unclassified non-coding RNA is filed under the name soil metagenome. Its description in RNAcentral is "partial contains 5.8S ribosomal RNA, internal transcribed spacer 2, and large subunit ribosomal RNA". The stretch from base 1 to 120 matches the Rfam family "5.8S ribosomal RNA", at positions 35 to 154 of the family's 154-position model. The record is from RNAcentral.
GAUUAAGAACGUAGCGAAAUGCGAUAAGUAAUGUGAAUUGCAGAAUUCAGUGAAUCAUCGAAUCUUUGAACGCACAUUGCGCCCGCCAGUAUUCUGGCGGGCAUGCCUGUUCGAGCGUCAUUUCAACCAUCAAGCCCCCGGCUUGUGUUGGGGACCUGCGGCUGCCGCAGGCCCUGAAAACCAGUGGCGGGCUCGCUAGUCACUCCGAGCGUAGUAAUACAUCUCGCUCAGGGCGUGCUGCGGGUUCCGGCCGUUAAAAAGCCUUAUUUACCCAAGGUUGACCUCGGAUCAGGUAGGAAGACCCGCUGAACUUAAGCAUAUCAAUAAGCGGAGGA